This 251-nucleotide ribosomal RNA is filed under the name uncultured bacterium. Its description in RNAcentral is "partial 16S ribosomal RNA". It matches the Rfam family "Bacterial small subunit ribosomal RNA", at positions 103 to 354 of the family's 1533-position model. The record is from RNAcentral.
CGGGUGAGUAACGCGUGGGGAACCUGCCCUGUACAGGGGGAUAACACUUAGAAAUAGGUGCUAAUACCGCAUAAGCGCACAGUAUCGCAUGAUACAGUGUGAAACACUCCGGUGGUACAGGAUGGACCCGCGUCUGAUUAGCUGGUUGGCGGGGUAACGGCCCACCAAGGCGACGAUCAGUAGCCGGCCUGAGAGGGUGAACAGCCACACUGGUACUGAGACACGGACCAGACUCCUACGGAAGGCAGCAG